RNAcentral lists this ribosomal RNA (483 nucleotides) under uncultured bacterium. RNAcentral describes it as "bacterial SSU rRNA". It matches the Rfam family "Bacterial small subunit ribosomal RNA", at positions 30 to 508 of the family's 1533-position model. The record is from RNAcentral.
AUUGAACGCUGGCGGCAUGCCUUACACAUGCAAGUCGAACGGUAACAGGUCUUCGGACGCUGACGAGUGGCGAACGGGUGAGUAAUACAUCGGAACGUGCCCAGUCGUGGGGGAUAACUACUCGAAAGAGUAGCUAAUACCGCAUACGAUCUGAGGAUGAAAGCGGGGGACCUUCGGGCCUCGCGCGAUUGGAGCGGCCGAUGGCAGAUUAGGUAGUUGGUGGGAUAAAAGCUUACCAAGCCGACGAUCUGUAGCUGGUCUGAGAGGACGACCAGCCACACUGGGACUGAGACACGGCCCAGACUCCUACGGGAGGCAGCAGUGGGGAAUUUUGGACAAUGGGCGAAAGCCUGAUCCAGCAAUGCCGCGUGCAGGAUGAAGGCCUUCGGGUUGUAAACUGCUUUUGUACGGAACGAAAAAGCUUCUCCUAAUACGAGAGGCCCAUGACGGUACCGUAAGAAUAAGCACCGGCUAACUACGUGC